RNAcentral lists this ribosomal RNA (433 nucleotides) under uncultured bacterium. RNAcentral's name for it is "partial 16S ribosomal RNA". It matches the Rfam family "Bacterial small subunit ribosomal RNA", at positions 29 to 507 of the family's 1533-position model. The record is from RNAcentral.
AGCGAACGCUGGCGGCAGGCUUAACACAUGCAAGUCGAGCGGGCCUUUCGGGGUCAGCGGCGGACGGGUGAGUAACGCGUGGGAACGUGCCCUCUGGUUCGGAAUAACUCAGUGAAACUUGAGCUAAUACCGGAUACGCCCUUUUGGGGAAAGGCUUGCUGCCGGAGGAUCGUCCCGCGUCUGAUUAGCUAGUUGGUGAGGUAACGGCUCACCAAGGCGACGAUCAGUAGCUGGUCUGAGAGGAUGAUCAGCCACACUGGGAAUGAGACACGGCCGAGACUACUACGGGAGGCAGCAGUGGGGAAUAUUGGACAAUGGGCGAAAGCCUGAUCCAGCCAUGCCGCGUGAGUGAUGAAGGCCUUAGGGUUGUAAAGCUCUUUUAUACGGGACGAUAAUGACGGUAACGGAGGAAUAAGCCCCGGCUAACUUCGUG